This is a long non-coding RNA of Piliocolobus tephrosceles (Ugandan red Colobus), 1619 nucleotides long. NCBI's taxonomy places the organism in Eukaryota, Metazoa, Chordata, Mammalia, Primates, Cercopithecidae. The record is from Ensembl.
GUUUUAUUUUAAUUUUUACUUUACUUUUUUUUACCUUGAUUUUUUUUUUUUUUUUUUUUUUUUUUUUUAAUUAAAACUUUAAAACUAAUAUGUAGGAAAAAACUCAAUUAUAUAUUGUUUUUAACAAAAUAACGUGAAAGGAAUGAUUUUUUAAAAUUUUUAUUAUUACAUGCGUGUUUUUUUUUUUUUUUUUUUUUUUUUUUUUUAUUUUACAAAACCACUAUAUUUUUUCCUAUGUAAAAAAGGUAAAAUGUACAUUGCAAGCCAUUUAUAUAUAUACGCAUAUGUUAUAUACUUACAUUAUCAAUAUAUCGUUUUUAUGUGUCACUUCAUAUGCUUCUAUUCACGCACCAAAUUGUUUUAUUGUUUUGGGAUUUCAGUUACUACUUUACUUUUUUGAUCAUUUUUGUUUUAUUUAUUUAUUUAUUUAUUUAUUUAUUUCUUUUUUUUUGUUACAUAAUUAAACUAUCUACAUAAAUAACUUUUAAAACAUUUCAAGUUCUUCUUUUUUUCUAUGUUAGUAAAGUAUAUAUACAUAUAUAAAUGUAUAAAUCCCAAUUAUGGAGACUAAAAAAAAAUUAAAUAUAUAUAUAUGUACUCAUACAAAUAUGUAUUUAUGCGUAUAUAUAUAGUACAAGAACAAAGGUAAAAAAAAAAAAAAAAAAAAAAAAAAAAAAAGUUAAACAGUGUUUCGUCAUACUUGAAGUCUUUUAACAGCAUUUUAUAGUGCUCACCAAAAAUAGAGAAAACAAAAUAACAAAUUAACAUUUUAUUUUGUUUAAAAUAAAUAUUAAUUGUUUCAAAAAAGUUUGAAAAAUAAGAAAAAUUAAAAAGUCAUGAAGCCUUAAAAUGAAUAAAAAUAUAGCAUAAAAAGUUAUACUGUCAUAUCUUAUAUAAACGUAUGUAUCCAUUUAUAUAUAUAUUUUUUUUAUAAUAGCUAUUUAUAUUUAAAAAAAAAAAUGGAGGAAACGAAUAAGGAAAAGACUAAGGAAAAAAAAAUUAAGAAAGCACAAAAGCCUUUAGUUGUUAGUAAUAGAAAACCGUUCAAUGUAUUUGAAAAAAAUAAACAGUCGAAGCCUGCAGUGAGAGACCCUAGGUUUUCAGACUUUUCAGGCACUUUUAAUCCAAACUUUUUUAGAAACGCUUAUAAAUUUUUAUACGAAUCGAGAGAACAAGAAAAAGAUUUAAUCCGAGAACAAUUAAAAUCUAAGAAAUUAACAGAAGAAGAAAAAAAAGAGUUAAAAAAAAAAUAUAAUAAUUAUAAUAACACAAGUAUGAUACUUAAAAAAAAAGAAGAAGAAAGAAAAUUAAAGACACAACUUGUUAAACAAGAAAAACAAAAUAUAUUAACAAAAAAUAAAAUGCCAUAUUAUUAUAGUGAUAGAAAAAUAAAAAAAAUGGUACAGGAACAAAAUUCAAAUAAUAUUAGUAUUAAAAAAAUUAUCAAAAAAGAAAAAAAACAUUUACAAAAAGAAAAAAAGAAAAAUAUAAUACCACAAAGAAGAUAUUUUGAAAACAGCUAAAAAUUUUGUAAGAAUAACAUUUUACUUAUUUUCUUACGAUUUUUAAUGUUUGUAAUAAUAUCCUCAAUUUGUUUGUAUACAUAUUUAGUUGACGUA